This 36-nucleotide non-coding RNA is filed under the name Aquimarina agarilytica ZC1. RNAcentral describes it as "DUF805b RNA". It matches the Rfam family "DUF805b RNA". Rfam says of the family: Bacteroidetes, Chlorobi (1 example), Proteobacteria. Lineage (Flavobacteria) The record is from RNAcentral. Lineage: Bacteria; Pseudomonadati; Bacteroidota; Flavobacteriia; Flavobacteriales; Flavobacteriaceae.
AGGGGGGAAGCCGAAAAACCUUUAAUAGAGUAAGCA